GACGAUGACUCCUACGGGAGGCAGCAGUGGGGAAUAUUGCACAAUGGGGGAAACCCUGAUGCAGCCAUGCCGCGUGUGUGAAGAAGGCCUUCGGGUUGUAAAGCACUUUCAGUAGGGACGGAAGGUAGUGUAGUUAACACCUGCACUACUUUGACGUUACCUACAGAAGAAGCACCGGCUAACUCCGUGCCAGCAGCCGCGGUAAUACGGAGGGUGCGAGCGUUAAAUCGGAAUUACUGGGCGUAAAGCGCAUGCAGGCGGCCUGUUAAGUCAGAUGUGAAAGCCCCGGGGCUUAACCUCGGAAUUGCAUUUGAAACUGGCAGGCUAGAGUCUUGUAGAGGGGGUAGAAUUUCAGGUGUAGCGGUGAAAUGCGUAGAGAUCUGAAGGAAUACCAGUUGGCGAAGGCGGCCCCCUGGACAAAGACUGACGCUCAGAUCGCGAAAGCGUGGGGAGCAAACAGGAUUAGAUACCCCUGGUAG
RNAcentral lists this ribosomal RNA (479 nucleotides) under uncultured bacterium. RNAcentral describes it as "bacterial SSU rRNA". It matches the Rfam family "Bacterial small subunit ribosomal RNA", at positions 328 to 793 of the family's 1533-position model. The record is from RNAcentral.